This 301-nucleotide ribosomal RNA is filed under the name uncultured bacterium. RNAcentral's name for it is "partial 16S ribosomal RNA". It matches the Rfam family "Bacterial small subunit ribosomal RNA", at positions 509 to 807 of the family's 1533-position model. The record is from RNAcentral.
CAGUCGCCACGGGAAUACGUAGGGUGCGAGCGUUAAUCGGAAUUACUGGGCGUAAAGCGUACGCAGGCGGUUUGUUAAGUCAGAUGUGAAAUCCCCGAGCUUAACUCGGGAACUGCAUUUGAAACUGGCAGGCUAGAGUCUCGUAGAGGGGGGUAGAAUUCCAGGUGUAGCGGUGAAAUGCGUAGAGAUCUGGAGGAAUACCGGUGGCGAAGGCGGCCCCCUGGACGAAGACUGACGCUCAGGUACGAAAGCGUGGGGAGCAAACAGGAUUAGAUACCCCUGUAGUCCCUGUCUCUUAUAC